AAGUCGUAACAAGGUUUGGUGAACCUGCGGAAGGAUCAUUAACAACAUAUCCUAACUAAAACCCCUGUGAACUUUCAAUGUCCCGGUCGCCGGCCGUCGGCCUCCAGCGAUCGUUUACUGCGCCACCCUUGCCAAACCAAAAGCACACUGACAGAACGUUUGAUUCCCGUCAAUGAACACUGACAGAUCACUGAACACUGGUCUUGAGGGUACCAGGUCACUUGCCUUACCUUACCCAACCACGCUAGGUUAUUUCAGAGGUCUCUGAAUCAAAAGCUGUUCACUAUGAUUUACCAGAGAUUGCUGAAGUCCUCGGAUCAAAGGUUCGGUCAGUGAGCUCUGCUCCCGCUGUUACGACAAACCUCUGUUCCCCUCUAGUGAAAGCUAUUGGGUUAUAACUAAACGACUGUUAACAAUGGAUAUCUCGAUUCUC
This 433-nucleotide unclassified non-coding RNA is filed under the name fungal sp. RNAcentral's name for it is "partial internal transcribed spacer region". The record is from RNAcentral. Lineage: Eukaryota; Fungi.